UGUGAAAUAAGAUCGCAUUUUUUUGAGAAUGGUGCAAAAUAAUAGACUCUCCCCAAUAGUUGGAAGGUGAGGGAUGAAUUUCAAAAUAGAUGUUAUUUGAGAAUCAUGAAGCAGUAUUCUAGUGUUAUUUUGUUGCAAAUCCGCCACAUCCUAGUGUAUUUUGAGGUUCAAAAUCUGCCAAAUCCUACAAUAGGAGCACCUAGUUUCUCUGCGAGCUAUUUACCCUUUAUGCUUUAUUUUUCACAAGGUGUUUGGAUUGAUUGAGAAA
Diorhabda carinulata is the source of this 268-nucleotide long non-coding RNA. RefSeq lists it as uncharacterized. The transcript has 2 exons. The record is from RefSeq and is a predicted model, not a curated record. NCBI's taxonomy places the organism in Eukaryota, Metazoa, Arthropoda, Insecta, Coleoptera, Chrysomelidae.